RNAcentral lists this small RNA (863 nucleotides) under Drosophila mojavensis. RNAcentral's name for it is "GI25491". The record is from RNAcentral. Lineage: Eukaryota; Metazoa; Arthropoda; Insecta; Diptera; Drosophilidae.
AUAGGAAAAUCAUUGCUGGCGACAAUAAAAAAACAUGAACACACGCACGCCAAGAUAAAGCUGGAGACGGAGAUGGAGAUGGAGAUAAACUAGGCACGGCAACAACAGCAACAACAACAGCAACAACAACAACAGAAAAUAGCGUGGAGACCUAAACAAAUAUGUUGCAAGCGUGACAGCGGCAAUCCAAGGAUCCAAGGACCUUCAGCCUCAAGGCUGUAGCUGUAGCUGAAACUGGAGCUGGAGCUGGAGCAGCUGGAGGUGGCGCGCAACAGGAAUUACCUCUAUUUGUCUUGAUUACGUCCUUUGUCCAUCAUUAUCGAGCACUGGGCUCAGUUGCGCCUGGCACUCGAUCUGGGGUCACAGCAACUCUCUGAUAUGCCAUGCGAUAUAGGUUGUUCGCUGGCUUUAUGAAAUGAAGACGCGUAAGAAGAGCAGGAGGAGUUGGAAAACUCUAGACAGCCCCACAGUGUCCUAAGUCAACAGCGAUGGCAUCGUUCAACACCUGGCCGGCGAACAGGUAGCACAAGGCACACCUUGGCGCUAAUAAGCUGCAAUUUGAUCAUAAUUAUCACUGAGAGUGGACACGGAGGGGGCGACGUAAUUUCAGCUAUCUAACUGCGUGUCUCAAUGCGCUGCAUUUGCGCUGAGCAAAUAUUAAUCGGCGAAGACGACGCCCCACUCGACGCUCCCAACUUUGAAAUUCAAGCAUCGCUUUGGCUUUGACUACUCCAUUGCCAAAUCAAUUGCACUUACAACAACAAGCACUCGCUCGGCUAUGUAGCUGCAGCUAGCUCACAGGCAAAUGGAAAUCAAUUUUGAAAUGAGAAUCACGUGCCGUCGCUCGACAGGCUCCAGCAGCA